Molecule: long non-coding RNA, 1317 nt
Organism: Synchiropus splendidus (mandarinfish)
Lineage: Eukaryota; Metazoa; Chordata; Actinopteri; Syngnathiformes; Callionymidae
Exons: 5
Source: RefSeq, a predicted model, not a curated record
CUCCCAAGCCGUAGUUUCUAUUUUUAUUCUGUUUAAAUAUGUACACGUGAUGUGGACGCCGACGUCUCUUUGGAGAUGUGAAUUUAUGCUUUGGAUGAAUAAUUCAAUUAUACAAACACGUUGGACUUUGACGUCAUCAGUGGUCGACCAGAACAAAAACAUGGCGGAAAGUCAUUCGGCUUGACUUCGAAUACUCAACCUAAAGAAUCCUCAGAAGUGUCUGGACCGGACAAAUUUACUUUUUUUUGGGUUGAGGAGGACGAGGAAGGGAGUCCUAUCCCAAAGAGGAGGAGAACAGGGAAGAAGCGGGCAAAGAGUUCAUCCUCAGUGACUUCUGGGAGCAUGCACUCAUUGCCAUGUGCUCCAUCUACAAGUGGACAUCAGCACGUGACUGAGACCGUUCAAGAUAUAUAUUUUAGCAGCAGUUUAUUUACCCUCUUCUUUCCAUGUUUGUCUUAUUGCUGCUAUAUUUGGUUACCUUACCCUGUUUUCUAGGAUCCCUCAUUCAAGAGGUGCAGGACCUUUUGGGACCUGCCAUAGACCCAGCACCUUCACACUGGAAAGACAGGAAAGCUUCAACUCUGGAAAAGUGGACUGUGUUAAGGCCGUAUAUGGUUAAUCAGAUGUUACAGUCUGAGAAGCCUAUAGAGGGAACUUGUCACCACUGCAGAUCUAAGACUGCUGUUGUGAAAUGUCAGGAUUGUUUGCCUAGACCACUUCACUGUGCAGCCUGUGAUGUUUCCAUCCACAAUUCCAUGGUUUUCCAUAAUAGAUCAUCCAUGAUAGAGGGAUUCUACAGGCCACUGCCACCAACCACUCACAUCAGGGAAGAGAAGGGAGGAAAAUUCUCCUUCCAUGAAAGAGAGUGCAUUUUGCCAGUAAUGCAUCCAUGCUAUGACUGCUGCUCUGGGCAAACAACCUUUUCUGCAGGAAAGCAAGUAAUUCUGAUUGGAAUGAAUGGUCGAUACAAUGUGUCCCUCCCAACUGUCAGCUGCUCCUGUGGGAAAGCUUUGGAUGUCGGUAUUAGUGAGCUGAUUGAAAGUGGCUACUGGCCAGCUACAGUCCAUUUUGAGACGCUGUACACAGUGGAUUUGUUCGCUACAUACGAAGAGCUCAAGAUUACUGCACCAGGAAUGUAACGACAAGCUUUCGUUGGUAUGCUUGAGCAGCGCACAAAACUCUUUGGUCGGGUUAGUACAUCAUUGGACUAAUUGCCUGCAGAAUUGAAAGAGUUUAUGUGGCGACACCAUACAAAAAUCAUUCCUGGAAUGGUCGUACGCAAAAUUUGAAGUUGAGAGGCUGUCUGAAGUCGAUCAG